Molecule: long non-coding RNA, 557 nt
Filed under: Coffea arabica (coffee)
Lineage: Eukaryota; Viridiplantae; Streptophyta; Magnoliopsida; Gentianales; Rubiaceae
Description: long non-coding RNA (CARA_LNC000992)
Source: RNAcentral
GAGCGAACCCAAGAAAUGGAGGAGAAGGCCAAGGAGGCUGCUGAGAAAGCAAAGCACAGGACUGAAAGCGUGGCUGAAAGGGCAGCUGAGAAGGCCAAAGAAGGGAAAGACUGGGCAGCGGAUACAGCGCAAGAAACUAAAGAGAAGGCCAAGGAUAGAGCUGAUGAAAUGAAGGAGAAGACUGAAGACACGGCUUAUGAAAUGAAGGAGAAGACUAAGGGGACGGCCGAAACGGUGGCCGAGAAGACGAAGGAAGGGGCGUAUAAGGUGGUGGAAACGGCCGAGACUGUUGGGGAGAAGGCUAAGCAGACUAUGAAGGAUGCUUGGGGAGCUGCAAAGGAGACUACUCAGAAGAUUAAAGAAACUGUGGUUGGCAAGGAUGAUGAUGAUGAUAAGGACCGUGUUGAAGAUUUCAUGGAAGAUCAUGUUAGGAAGCCUGCUAGAAAGCACAGGGAUAUCCCUGUCACUGAGGCACCUAAGGGAGAGCACCCUGACGGUGUGACAAUGGAUGAAGAUGUUGUGGAGCUGAGGAGGAAAGCAGGGCAGCAUGAUCAUCA